UUUACCCAUGGCGGGUGUCAGGCCUCUGGAGGCGUCGUUCUCCGUCCCUCCGGUCUACCUUGGAGUCGGGUUGUUUGAGAAUGCAGCCCAAAGCGGGUGGUAAACUCCAUCUAAGGCUAAAUACUUGCACGAGUCCGAUAGCCAACAAGUACCGUGAGGAAAGUUGAAAAGAACUUUGAAGAGAGAGUUCAAUAGUGUCUUGUAGUGGCGUUUAGAGGCAAACGGGUGGAGUCGCAAAGUGGUCUAGAUAGAUUCAACUGUUCGAGCAUCGGUUGCGGCGGAGUUUACGGAUUCAUUUCGAACCGGCUUCGUCGCUGAGCCUUUGUCGAUCGGCGCACUUCUUUCUAGACAGCGCUACAACCGGUUUAGUGGCGGUCAUAAGCUACUUGGGAAGGUGACUUCGACUUCGGUUGGAGAGUUAUAGUCCAGGCUAGCGUCGUCUGCCGCGAGACCGAGGAAUGGCCGUACCCCGCCUUUAGGCAACGGGCCCUUGCACCUCUGAUGCCGUUCGACCUGACUGGACUGUUUACAGUGCUGUCUGACUGCGGUGUUUGUUGUGUGUAAGUGUGCUUCCGAGAGGUACUCAAGGUUAGUGGCAAAUUGGUCGGCAAUCCACCCGACCCGUCUUGAAACACGGACCAAGGAGUCUAGCAUGUGUCGAGUCGCAGGGCUGUACUAAACCCGAAGGCGUAAUGAAAGUAAAGGUCGGUCUUGCAUCGGCUUAGGCGAGAUCUAGCGUCUCCGAGAUGUUAGCGCAUCGCCGGCCCGUCUUAGUUUCGACGCAAACGAGGCGGAGCACGAGCAUACACGCUGGGACCCGAAAGAUGGUGAACUAUGCUUGAGUAGGACGAAGCAGAGGAA
Molecule: ribosomal RNA, 861 nt
Filed under: Oerstedia polyorbis
Lineage: Eukaryota; Metazoa; Nemertea; Enopla; Monostilifera; Oerstediidae
Description: eukaryotic LSU rRNA
Rfam family: Eukaryotic large subunit ribosomal RNA
Source: RNAcentral